This is a non-coding RNA of Procambarus clarkii (red swamp crayfish), 153 nucleotides long. The record is from RefSeq and is a predicted model, not a curated record. NCBI's taxonomy places the organism in Eukaryota, Metazoa, Arthropoda, Malacostraca, Decapoda, Cambaridae.
CAGCUAACAUCAGAAUAGUGGAUGAAGCCCACACUAAAAUAAUGUGGGUUGGAAAGUCCAGAAGUCCCUGUCAGUUGGAAGAGUUAAUUAAGCAAUUAAACAGAAUCAGGUGAAAGUGAUUAUGAUGCAUGGACUGAGGCUCCUUUACUCUGC